CAGUCGCCACGGUAAUACGUAGGGUGCAAGCGUUAAUCGGAAUUACUGGGCGUAAAGCGUGCGCAGGCGGUUUGUUAAGACAGAUGUGAAAUGCCCGGGCUCAACCUGGGAACUGCAUUUGUGACUGGCAAGCUAGAGUGUGUCAGAGGAUGGUGGAAUUCCCGGUGUAGCGGUGAAAUGCGUAGAGAUCGGGAGGAACAUCAGUGGCGAAGGCGGCCAUCUGGGACAACACUGACGCUGAGGCACGAAAGCGUGGGGAGCAAACAGGAUUAGAUACCCCCGUAGUCCCUGUCUCUUAUAC
RNAcentral lists this ribosomal RNA (301 nucleotides) under uncultured bacterium. Its description in RNAcentral is "partial 16S ribosomal RNA". It matches the Rfam family "Bacterial small subunit ribosomal RNA", at positions 509 to 807 of the family's 1533-position model. The record is from RNAcentral.